Molecule: ribosomal RNA, 348 nt
Filed under: Aureobasidium pullulans
Lineage: Eukaryota; Fungi; Ascomycota; Dothideomycetes; Dothideales; Saccotheciaceae
Description: SSU rRNA
Rfam family: Eukaryotic small subunit ribosomal RNA
Source: RNAcentral
UGUAGUCAUAUGCUUGUCUCAAAGAUUAAGCCAUGCAUGUCUAAGUAUAAGCAACUAUACGGUGAAACUGCGAAUGGCUCAUUAAAUCAGUUAUCGUUUAUUUGAUAGUACCUUACUACUUGGAUAACCGUGGUAAUUCUAGAGCUAAUACAUGCUAAAAACCCCGACUUCGGAAGGGGUGUAUUUAUUAGAUAAAAAACCAGCGCCCUUCGGGGCUCCUUGGUGAUUCAUAAUAACUUAACGAAUCGCAUGGCCUUGCGCCGGCGAUGGUUCAUUCAAAUUUCUGCCCUAUCAACUUUCGAUGGUAGGAUAGUGGCCUACCAUGGUAUCAACGGGUAACGGGGAAUG